AUGCAGUCGAGCGAACAGACAAGGAGCUUGCUCCUUUGACGUUAGCGGCGGACGGGUGAGUAACACGUGGGUAACCUACCUAUAAGACUGGGAUAACUUCGGGAAACCGGAGCUAAUACCGGAUAAUAUUUCGAACCGCAUGGUUCGAUAGUGAAAGAUGGUUUUGCUAUCACUUAUAGAUGGACCCGCGCCGUAUUAGCUAGUUGGUAAGGUAACGGCUUACCAAGGCGACGAUACGUAGCCGACCUGAGAGGGUGAUCGGCCACACUGGAACUGAGACACGGUCCAGACUCCUACGGGAGGCAGCAGUAGGGAAUCUUCCGCAAUGGGCGAAAGCCUGACGGAGCAACGCCGCGUGAGUGAUGAAGGUCUUCGGAUCGUAAAACUCUGUUAUUAGGGAAGAACAUACGUGUAAGUAACUAUGCACGUCUUGACGGUACCUAAUCAGAAAGCCACGGCUAACUACGUGCCAGCAGCCGCGGUAAUACGUAGGUGGCAAGCGUUAUCCGGAAUUAUUGGGCGUAAAGCGCGCGUAGGCGGUUUUUUAAGUCUGAUGUGAAAGCCCCACGGCUCAACCGUGGAGGGUCAUUGGAAACUGGAAAACUUGAGUGCAGAAGAGGAAAGUGGAAUUCCAUGUGUAGCGGUGAAAUGCGCAGAGAUAUGGAGGAACACCAGUGGCGAAGGCGACUUUCUGGUCUGUAACUGACGCUGAUGUGCGAAAGCGUGGGGAUCAAACAGGAUUAGAUACCCUGGUAGUCCACGCCGUAAACGAUGAGUGCUAAGUGUUAGGGGGUUUCCGCCCCUUAGUGCUGCAGCUAACGCAUUAAGCACUCCGCCUGGGGAGUACGACCGCAAGGUUGAAACUCAAAGGAAUUGACGGGGACCCGCACAAGCGGUGGAGCAUGUGGUUUAAUUCGAAGCAACGCGAAGAACCUUACCAAAUCUUGACAUCCUUUGACAACUCUAGAGAUAGAGCCUUCCCCUUCGGGGGACAAAGUGACAGGUGGUGCAUGGUUGUCGUCAGCUCGUGUCGUGAGAUGUUGGGUUAAGUCCCGCAACGAGCGCAACCCUUAAGCUUAGUUGCCAUCAUUAAGUUGGGCACUCUAAGUUGACUGCCGGUGACAAACCGGAGGAAGGUGGGGAUGACGUCAAAUCAUCAUGCCCCUUAUGAUUUGGGCUACACACGUGCUACAAUGGACAAUACAAAGGGCAGCGAAACCGCGAGGUCAAGCAAAUCCCAUAAAGUUGUUCUCAGUUCGGAUUGUAGUCUGCAACUCGACUACAUGAAGCUGGAAUCGCUAGUAAUCGUAGAUCAGCAUGCUACGGUGAAUACGUUCCCGGGUCUUGUACACACCGCCCGUCACACCACGAGAGUUUGUAACACCCGAAGCCGGUG
This 1396-nucleotide ribosomal RNA is filed under the name Staphylococcus haemolyticus. Its description in RNAcentral is "bacterial SSU rRNA". It matches the Rfam family "Bacterial small subunit ribosomal RNA", at positions 55 to 1432 of the family's 1533-position model. The record is from RNAcentral. Lineage: Bacteria; Bacillati; Bacillota; Bacilli; Caryophanales; Staphylococcaceae.